AGCGAACGCUGGCGGCAGGCUUAACACAUGCAAGUCGAGCGGGCAUCCUUGUGGUGUCAGCGGCAGACGGGUGAGUAACGCGUGUGAACGUGCCCUUCGGUUCGGAAUAACUCAGGGAAACUUGAGCUAAUACCGGAUACGUGCGAGAGCAGAAAGGUUUAUCUGCCGAAGGAUCGGCCCGCGUCUGAUUAGCUAGUUGGUGAGGUUAUGGCUCACCAAGGCGACGAUCAGUAGCUGGUCUGAGAGGAUGAUCAGCCACACUGGGACUGAGACACGGCCCAGACUCCUACGGGAGGCAGCAGUGGGGAAUAUUGGACAAUGGGGGCAACCCUGAUCCAGCCAUGCCGCGUGAGUGAUGACGGCCUUAGGGUUGUAAAGCUCUUUUCUCCGGGACGAUAAUGACGGUACCGGAGGAAUAAGCCCCGGCUAACUUCGUG
Molecule: ribosomal RNA, 437 nt
Filed under: uncultured bacterium
Lineage: Bacteria
Description: partial 16S ribosomal RNA
Rfam family: Bacterial small subunit ribosomal RNA
Source: RNAcentral